This 440-nucleotide ribosomal RNA is filed under the name uncultured bacterium. RNAcentral describes it as "partial 16S ribosomal RNA". It matches the Rfam family "Bacterial small subunit ribosomal RNA", at positions 338 to 795 of the family's 1533-position model. The record is from RNAcentral.
CCUACGGGAGGCAGCAGUAGGGAAUAUUGCUCAAUGGGGGAAACCCUGAAGCAGCCACGCCGCGUGGAGGAUGAAGGUUUUCGGAUUGUAAACUCCUUUUGUUAGAGAAGAUAAUGACGGUAUCUGACGACUAAGCACCGGCGACCGCCGUUCCAGCAGCCGCGGUAAUACGGAGUGUGCAAGCGUUACUCGGAAUCACUGGGCGUAAAGCGGGCGUUUGCGGGUUAGCAAGUCAGCUGUGAAAUCCUAGGGCUUAACCAUAGAACUGCAGUUGAAACUGUUAUUCUAGAGUAUGGGAGAGGUAGGCGGAAUUCGUGGUGUAGCGGUAAAAUCCGUAGAGAUCACGAGGAAUACUCAUUGCGAAGGCGACCUGCCAGAACAUAACUGACGCUGAUGCGCGAAAGCGUGGGGAGCAAACAGGAUUAGAUACCCCUGUAGUC